UUUUUUUAUCUUUAUUAGCUUAAUCCAUUUGCUUUUCUAUGUAUGCUUUGCGGGAGCUGCUAGGUGUGCUUGGGUUGAAGUACGUGGACAGAAAGAGUACUUCGAAAUAGUGCAUUAGAAUCCCACAUCGACCACGGACAAAAGUAGAAGAACAAAGCUGCGUAUAAAAAUGAAUGCUCAAUAUUUGACAUAAGCAUACCUUUCUCGGCCUUUUGGCUAAGAUCAAGUGUAGUAUCUGUUCUUAUCAGUUUAAUAUCUGAUACGUGAAUCAAUGGUUUACAUGAUAUUAAAUUAAUUUUUUUAGGGUGAGGGCUCGCUACAUUAGCUUGCUACUGGGGUUCUUGCGUGUCCCCCAAGCUUUGCACUAUUGCUUGGGCCUGGCACGACCCACCAAAUUCUAGGUUAAAAUUUUCAAGGCCCAACAUAUAUUAAGCAAUACCAAUCAUCCUUGUUGGAAACCAAUUUUGUGACGGUGCUUUAGUUCAAUUUUAUUUUAGACCUUCGCUCCUCAUCCCAGCUCGUAUCCCCUUUUAUUUUCUGAAAUUGAAGUUCCAAUUAGCUUUUGGCAAUACCAUCUUCACUUCGCUGUUUGUGUAUACGUUUUCAUAUCCCACAUCGGCUGCACAAAAAACGUGGGAGAAACAAGACUUAUGUUGUAAACAUAGACGUCCCAUUAUUUGGUUUGAGGGGAUGACAUCAUGUCUAUGUAAGCAAUGACAUUUAUGCAACAUGUUCCAUAAACAUGCUUAAUAUAAAAUCAGUUCAUAAACUCGUAAGGCAUGCUAUUCAUUUAUGCAAUUAAACUAUGAAAUCAUGUAAUUUUAGAAGGGGUCCACUCACAGAUACUCCGUAGCAAUAGAGUUGUGUGUAUAAGGAUUAAGAAUUUUCCCAUUAGCAACUUCACCUAAGCACAAAAAAAUGUACAAUUUAUCAAAUUACCCAACUAUAGAAUUUCAAGAAAUGAAAAUGGGUCUUAGGUUUGGAUCCGGAUUAGGGUUUAGGUUUAGGUUAAAUAGGGUUAGGACCUAUUGGGUUUUGGGUUUGGAUAGUUUAGGAACAAAGGGGUGGUUUGGCUUGAGCCCAAACCCACACAACACACAUACACACACGCCAGCACAUGCACAACACACACACACGUGCACCACACACAUUCACACACGCUUACACACACACACACACGUGCACCACACACACUGCACACGUGCACACACACGACACAACACACAUAGCACAACACACACACACACACACACACAUCGCAGCCCACACCACACAUACACUGUACUGCACACACAUUUACGACACUGACCAACAAACAACAAGGUAAUUAAUUACCUGGGUUCGAAUUCAAAGGGGUCCGUGCACCCACAGCAACAAACUCGCCGAAGUUCGUCCUCGGGGAAGGUAUGCAUGCACAUGUAGCGGAUAACAGGGCUGAGAUUAAGGGUAAGAGCUCAAAGCUCUCGGGUCUUCAAUGGCAGAGGACUCGGAGUUGCUCUGAUGUUGCAUGCAAAGCUGCAGUCGUGUUCCCUAUGUCCCAAAGGUUCGAAGUAUCAAGAUUUGGGGUUAAAUUUGUGAAGGAACGAGCACUGGUGGUGGCUGGUUUUGAUGGAGCUAGAGAGAGAGCUUCGGGAGUUAGAAGGAGAGUGAGGUUGCAGGGAUGAAGAAAAAGAAAAAGAGAGAGAGUAAAAGUACAUUUUAAUAAAAAAAAAUGUAAAGUAGUGUUUGAUGGUGGUGAGUGGGUAGAUAGAGAAAAAAAAAAUGUAAGGGAAAAGAGAGAGAGUGGAAGAACCGGUUAAAAGGAAGAGAGAGAGAGAGAGAUGGCUAGGUUUAAAUGAGAAUAAAGACUAAAUUGAUAGACCUAAACAUGUUUCAGGAGGAAUAUAGAAAUAUAGCUAAAAAAACAGGUGGGGGUGGGUGGGUACAACAUAAAGUCUUUUCUUACAAACUGUUGAGUGGUAAAGUUGGACAAUUUCUAAGCACCUGCUAUUAUAAGUGUGAGUAAGUCUUUUCUUACAAACUCAACACCUAAGUUGUAAAGUUGGGACAAUUUCUAAGCACUUGCUAUUAUAAGUAUGAGUGAGUCCGACUUUUUUGCAGUGUUGUUGCUAUUAUAAGUAUGGCUGUAUGAGUAAGACUAACUUUUUGCAGUGUCAAUAACAACAGUUUGCAAAAACAAACAGAAACCAAAUGCCGUUUACUUUCACUAAUAGUGCUUUAGUUUGACAUUCAACUUAAGAACAGAUCUAUGAUUCUAUGUAUCCAUAAUCCCAUACCCCUUAACGAAUGUAAAAUCCUCAGUCCCAGAAACAAUUCCAAACUUUCUUCCUUCCAUUGAAUAAUGGUUAGCUCCUUGAAUUGCCAGACUACUUCUUCCAUUUUCUCCAUUCGUGGAUAUCACUCUUAGUUUACCUUUAUACAACUAAAAAACUAAAUCAUAUUCAUAAAAUAUGAUUUGUUUAUGCAUUGUUACAACCUAACACACUUAGUUUAAUUAGCAAUAUUUUUCUCUCAGUUGUAGAAAAGAGGUUUCUAGCUUGAAUCCUUCGUUUUCUUAAUAAACAACAACAAAAAUGAAUGUACUUAAAAAUUUAUAAGGUUCAUAUUUAUUACGUAACUUUAGGUGACAAAAGAAAAAUAUGAGGCCAUUGAAAAUGGGGAUCCCUUUGGAUAAAGGCUUAUAUAUGCAAAACCCAAAAUAUCAUCCGGGACUCGGUCAAUGCGAAUGACAAUUUAGCGGUUUCUCUGUCUU
RNAcentral lists this long non-coding RNA (2752 nucleotides) under Malus domestica (apple). RNAcentral describes it as "long non-coding RNA (MDOM_LNC011940)". The stretch from base 196 to 391 matches the Rfam family "U2 spliceosomal RNA". The record is from RNAcentral. Lineage: Eukaryota; Viridiplantae; Streptophyta; Magnoliopsida; Rosales; Rosaceae.